This is a long non-coding RNA of Triticum dicoccoides, 2436 nucleotides long. RefSeq lists it as uncharacterized. Lineage: Eukaryota; Viridiplantae; Streptophyta; Magnoliopsida; Poales; Poaceae. The transcript is spliced from 4 exons. The record is from RefSeq and is a predicted model, not a curated record.
CCACCAUCGACGACCCGCGAUAGCGGCAGUGGGAUUGCGAGCCAGAUCAUAAGGACGUCCCCUUCCUCCCGAUCUCAUCGUGCUCCUCUCGAGUGUAUUUGGUUCUGAUCGGCCGGCGACCCCAUGCCGUCCAUCAUGGUGAUCGGCCAGGUGCUGCUCCUCGACAUCCUCACCUUCGUCCUCGUCAUCGGCACCGAGCGCCGCCGGAGCACGGUGAGCCGCACCAUCUCCUGGCCAACUCGUUGAAUCUUGAUUGGGGAAACUGGGUGCAAGCUCAACUCGACGAGGCCGAGACUGGUGGCAUGCGGUACUGCGUGUACGACGCGGAUGCGUCCACCUGGUACGGCGUCGGCACGCUCGCCCUGCUGCUGGUCGGACAGACCAUCGCCAUGGUGGCCAGCCAGUGCUUCUGCUACGGCCGCGCGCUCUCCCCCGAUCGCUGGCGCUUCUUCUCCGGCCUCUUCUUCAUCCCCUGCUGGUAAGGAGGAGGAGAGGAGGGCGAGAUGGUGAAGCACAACAAUGUCAUCCCCAACGGCCACUUGAAGAAGCACUGGCAGAACUAUGUCAGGACGUGGUUCAACCAGCCCGUCCGCAAGUAGAGGCGCCGCAUCCUUCUCUUGCUUUUCUGCAGACCGCCCAUGGCGUGGACGGCGACGACAGCAGGAGGACGCUAGUUCUGGUCGGGAACAUGGCCUUAUCAUCCUCGAGGAGGAGGGACGCACCUAAGCACCGGCCCUGUUCGGCAACAAGGGGUCUGCUCCUCUGCUUCCAAGGCAACCAAGUUGCCCUGCCUGAGUUCAACGAGUCCAGCCCAGCCAUGACUAUGCACCGCUCCUAGUAGGAGGGGCUGGUUCUGCUGUUGGAUGUCGGCCUGUCGAUGCACCGGGCGCUGCAGGAGGUCGAGAAUGUCUGCACCACCCUCGUGCGCAAGAAGGCAAGCAACACGCUCUUUCCAUCCGAAAAUUUGUGAUUGACCCAACCCAAUACAAAUGCAAGCGUCUAUUAAUCUGCCUUUGCAUUUUUUGUACUCUACAGUAGUCCUGGCCAUCUCAGGCCCGGCCCUAUUGGCCCACCUAGGCCUGGCCCUAAAAUCCAGGGCCUAGGCCCGAUGGGCUUGCCCAUGGGCCAGGCUUGGGCCUGAGUUUUGAGCCCAUCAGUAGGGCCUGGACGGGCUUGGGCUUGGCAUAUUGUCAUUUUAAGGAAGAGGCCCGGCCCACGGCCCUAAGCCCUAAGGGCUUGUUAGGGCUUUUUACCAUAUGGGUCGGGCUUGGGCUUGAAAAGUAGGCCUAGUGAUAGGGCUUGGGAGGGCCUGGGCCUCAGUUUUCUGCCGUGGGCUUUUUUAGGCUCGGCCCAAGCCCAGCCCGGCCUGACCCAUGGCCAGAUAUACUCUACAGCUGGUUUUCCAUAGGAGCGACGAGGUUGGCGUUGUCCUGUUUGAAACUAAAGGACUGUUCCUGCAUUUGUGGUAACAAAACUUUGCGUGUACAUUGGGACUUCAAAUAUUGCGGGUCCAUCAUGUGACUAACUUCCUACGUAUUAGUUUUUUUCCUGUUAACUAGAAAACCUUUUCUUGUUUUCUUGUUCACUCUAGUAUAUAGUAGGUUUUAAUGUAUUGGUGAACUGAAUGUAACUUCUAUUUCUAGCGGCCUGUAUAUGUAUGAUCCUGAUUAAUGUCACUCCAAGGAAGCCUUACCGUACAUAUGUUUGCACUGAACAAGUGUAUUUAUGGUUCAGAAUGGAAAACAAUCAAACAAGUUAUUGUUUUCCUCCUUAGCAUGCAUCUAGUCUUUGGGGAAAUAUUUGUUCUGAAGUCAUUACUGCACUAUAUUUAGCUAUGCCAUCCCAGUGCUUGAGUCCUGAUAACAUGCAAGAACAGUAUCUGGGACUGGCUUGCAUUUAUGCUUCUUAAAAUUGAAAAUUUUGCUACUUAACUUUUUACUUGAUGUGACUAGCUUCCUACUUAUCAGUUUUUGCCUUGUUAAUAACUAGAAAACCUUUUCUUGUUAGUUUUCACUACAACAUGUAGGUUUUAAUGCAAUGGUGAAGUGAAUGUAACUUCUAUUUCCAGGGGCCUGUAUAUGUUUGGUCCUUAUUAAUGUCACUUCAGGGAAGCCUUACGGUACAUAUGUAUGCACUGAACUAAUGUACAUAUAUAAUUUCCUGGUAUAUGUGAACUACACAUUAGCUUACAUGCUUGUGUUUUCAGUUAUACAUGAUUAAGUAGACCAGCUUGACACAAGUACUACUUUAUUGUCUGUAUUGUGUUGAGGCAUGUUGCAUAGUAGGUUUCUCGUGUUGAUUUAUUCAUGUCUGUGUUUAAGAGCAGAAUUUAGAUGUUGGGUUUGGCAGGAGAGCGAGGGGGUGGUCACUAUCGGUGUCAAAACCGGCGGAUCUCGGGUAGGGGGUUCCGAACUGUGCGUCUAGGCGGAUGGUAAC